AAGAAAGUACAUAAGGGCGUAUGGCGGAUGCCUAGGCUCUUGGAGGCGAAGAAGGACGUGGACAGCUGCGAUAAGCUGCGGUGAUCGGCCAACACGAUUUGACCCGCAGAUUUCCGAAUGGGGCAACCCGGCGCAUAGCGAUAUGCGUCACACCUUAGGGUGGGCAAACCCUCUGAACUGAAACAUCUAAGUAGGAGGAGGAGAAGAAAGAAACAUCGAUUUCCCUAGUAGCGGCGAGCGAAGCGGAAAGAGCCUAAACCUGUACUGUUACGGCAGUGCAGGGGUUGUAGGACUGCAACAUUGAAGCACCAUCAAACUGGAACUGAACUGGAAAGUUUGACCAUAGAGCGUGAUAGUCGCGUACAGGUAAGUUUAGGUGUGGAUCAGCAGUAUCCUGAGUAGGGCGGGACACGAGGAAUCCUGUCUGAAUCUGCCGGGACCACCCGGUAAGGCUAAAUACUCCCAAGAGACCGAUAGUGAACGAGUACUGUGAAGGAAAGGUGAAAAGAACCCUGAAUAAGGGAGUGAAAAAGAACCUGAAACCGUACGCCUACAACCGGUCGGAGCCACUACGUGUGGUGACGGCGUGCCUUUUGCAUAAUGAGCCUACGAGUUACUGAUCACUAGCGAGGUUAAGCACUUUAAAGUGCGGAGCCGAAGCGAAAGCGAGUCUGAAUAGGGCGUUUGAGUUAGUGGUCGUAGACGCGAAACCUUGCGAUCUACCCUUGGCCAGGAUGAAGUUUGGGUAAAACCACAUGGAGGUCCGAACCGAUAAGCGUUGAAAAGCUUCCGGAUGAGCUGAGGGUAGGGGUGAAAGGCUAAUCAAGCUGGGAAAUAGCUCGUACUCCCCGAAAUGCCUUUAGGGGCAGCGUUCUGGGUGUCUGUUGGAGGUAGAGCUACUGGUUGGAUGCGGGGGCUUCACCGCCUACCAAAUCCUGUCAAACUCCGAAUGCCAACAGUAUUAAACCAGAGCAGUGAGCGGCCGGGUGCUAAUGUCCGGCCACGAGAGAGGAACAACUCAGACCAGCAACUAAGGUCCCCAAGAAUACACUAAGUCGAUCUAACGAUGUUUUGUUGCAGCGACAGCUAGGAUGUUAGCUUGGAAGCAGCUAUUCAUUUAAAGAGUGCGUAACAGCUCACUAGUCGAGCGACAGAGCGUGGAUAAUAACCGGGCGUCAAGUGUAUCACCGAAGUUCUGGGCAUGUAUUAAUACAUGCGGUAGGGGAGCAUUCUAUUUGCGUCGAAUCCGAACUGUGAGGUUUGGUGGAGCGGAUAGAAAAGCAAAUGUAGGCAUGAGUAACGAUAAGGCGGGAGAGAAACCCGCCCACCGUAAGACCAAGGUUUCCCGGGCCACGCUAAUCGGCCCGGGGUUAGUCGGGACCUAAGGGUAAGCCGAAAGGUGAUCUCGAUGGACAAUCGGUUAAUAUUCCGAUACUGACUGUAACUGCGAUGGAGAGACGGAGAAGCGUAAGCCACGCGGGCGGACGGAAGUGCCCGUUAAAGUGUGUAGGUAUAGGUUGCCGUUAAUAGCGAUGACUUGCUGAAACAUGACAGUACCGAGAGCCUACGGGUGAUCGGAUAGUUGGCCCAAGCCUGCUUCCAAGAAAAACUUCUAAGCUUCAGGUUACAGUUACCCGUACCGUAAACCGACACAGGUGGUCGAGGAGAGUAUCCUCAGGUGCUCGAGUGAAUCACGGUUAAGGAACUAGGCAAAUUGACCCCGUAACUUAGGGAGAAGGGGUCCCUACGCGAGUAGGGCGCAGCGAAAAGGUCCAGGCGACUGUUUAGCAAAAACACAGGGCUAUGCCAACUAGUAAUAUGAAGUAUAUGGCCUGACACCUGCCCGGUGCUGGAAGGUUAAGAGGGGAUGUCAUCGCAAGAGAAGCAUUGAAUCGAAGCCCCAGUAAACGGCGGCCGUAACUAUAACGGUCCUAAGGUAGCGAAAUUCCUUGUCGGGUAAGUUCCGACCUGCACGAAUGGUGUAACGAUCUGGACACUGUCUCAACCGUGAGCUCGGUGAAAUUGUAGUCCCGGUGAAGAUGCCGGGUACCCGCAACGGGACGAAAAGACCCCGUGAACCUUUACUGCAGCUUCACGCUGAAUUUGGGUAUACGAUGUGUAGGAUAGGCAGGAGACUAAGAAGCAGGUACGCCAGUAUUUGUGGAGUCGCCGUUGAAAUACUGCCCUUUGUGUAUUUGAAUUCUAACCCUGAAAAGGGGACACCGUGUGGUGGGUAGUUUGACUGGGGUGGUCGCCUCCAAAAGAGUAACGGAGGCUUCCCAAGGUACCCUCAACACGAUUGGUAACCGUGUGUAGAGUGCAAUAGCAUAAGGGUGCUUGACUGUGAGACUUACAAGUCGACCAGGUGCGAAAGCAGGGUAUAGUGAUCCGGUGGUUCUGUGUGGACUGGCCAUCGCUCAAAGGAUAAAAGGUACUCCGGGGAUAACAGGCUGAUCGCCGCCAAGAGCUCAUAUCGACGCGGCGGUUUGGCACCUCGAUGUCGGCUCGUCACAUCCUGGGGCUGGAGAAGGUCCCAAGGGUUCGGCUGUUCGCCGAUUAAAGUGGCACGCGAGCUGGGUUCAGAACGUCGUGAGACAGUUCGGUCUCUAUCUGUUGUGGGCGUUGGAAAUUUGAGGAGACCUGACCUUAGUACGAGAGGACCGGGUUGGACGAACCUCUGGUGUAUCGGUUAUGCCGCCAGGUGUACUGCCGAGUAGCCACGUUCGGGAAGGAUAAGCGCUGAAAGCAUCUAAGCGCGAAGCCUACUCCAAGAUUAGAUUUCCCUUGAGGGUCGUGGGAGACUACCACGUUGAUAGGCCGUAGGUGUAAAGGCAGUAAUGUCAAAGCCGAGCGGUACUAAUUACCCGAUAGACUUUCUUAU
RNAcentral lists this ribosomal RNA (2881 nucleotides) under Alistipes sp. OttesenSCG-928-B03. Its description in RNAcentral is "23S ribosomal RNA". It matches the Rfam family "Bacterial large subunit ribosomal RNA". The record is from RNAcentral. Lineage: Bacteria; Pseudomonadati; Bacteroidota; Bacteroidia; Bacteroidales; Rikenellaceae.